CAGACAAUUAGAGAUCCAGGUGCCCGCUUCGGCGGGAGAAUAGGGAAGAGGGUGAGAACCCCUCGCUGCCCCGCAACUGUGUGUGGUGACGAAAACCGGAGUUCAUGCCACUGUCCCGUCAGGGAUGGGAAGGCCCGGUUAAGUAGGACGAACCACGAGUCAGGAGACCUGCCCGGAUUUUAUUUGCCAG
Molecule: non-coding RNA, 190 nt
Filed under: Desulfuromonas soudanensis
Lineage: Bacteria; Pseudomonadati; Thermodesulfobacteriota; Desulfuromonadia; Desulfuromonadales; Desulfuromonadaceae
Source: RNAcentral